RNAcentral lists this long non-coding RNA (2586 nucleotides) under Homo sapiens (human). RNAcentral's name for it is "HSALNT0273636". Lineage: Eukaryota; Metazoa; Chordata; Mammalia; Primates; Hominidae. The record is from RNAcentral.
UUGUAAUCUAAAUAAUACCAGCAAUUUUUAAUCGGCUCAUUUGUGUUCCAGAAAUGCAGGAUGAUUCAGAAAGGUGAAGUGCUUAGGAUCUCAGAAACAUUUCUUUUUAUCUUUGGCUUUCUUUUUAAAACACUUAAUAUGGUUUGCCUGUGUCCCCACCCAAAUCUCAUCUUGACUUGUAUUUCCCAUAAUCCCCUCGUGGGAGGGACCCAGUAGGAGGUAAUUGAAUCAUGGGGGUGCUUACCCCCAUGCUGCUGUUCUCAUAAGAUCUGAAGGUUUUAUAAGGGGCUUUUUCUCCCUUUUCUCGGCACUUCUCCUUGCUGCUGCCAUGUGAAGAAGAACAUGUUUGCUUCCCCUUCCACCAUGAUUGUAAGUUUCCUGAGUCCUCUCCAGCCCUGCAGAACUGAAGAGACACUCGGUGGAGGAUUCAAGCUGAUACAGGAGCCGUGGAUUGCCACCUGCCUCUUCUCCUAUGCCUGUCAUGAGUACACACACCAGUCCUGUCUGCUGGCCAAGCCCCCUUGCUCCCAGGUGGGAGAACAAUGUGUAGAAGCACAAAUUAUAAACUGAUUCUUGUGUUCUCUAAAGACAGUCUGUUUUUCAGAUCAUGAUUAGGAAUGAGUAAACGUCAAUUACAGGCAUCCUUAUAAGAGACAGCAGAGAAGACACAGACACAGAGGGGAAGGCCAUGUGAAGGCAGAGAAUGGAGUGACGCAGCCACAAACCAAGCAAUGCCUGGAGCCACCAGAAGCUGGAAGAGGCAAGGAAGGGACUCUUCUUCAGAGGGAGCAGGGCCCUGCCCACACCUUAGCUUCAGACUUCUAGCCUCCAGAACUGGGAGAGAAGAAAUGUCUGUUGUUUGAAGCCACCCAGCUGUGGCACUUUAUUACGGCAGCACGGGAAAUGCAUACAGCCUCCAAAAGAGAACGAAGCCCUUCUGAGAGCUUGAUUCCAGACAUGCAAGACCCUGAGCCCACCGCGCCUGGGUUUCUGCCUACAGAACUGUGAGAUAAUCCAUGGUUGUUUUACGCCACUCCAAUUGCAAUAAGACAGUGAGGAUGUCAUGUGAGUGACCAGCAAGGCAUGUGGCCCAACCAGACAGCCAGGGAAGGCCUUUAACGAGUAACUUGAGGCUGAGAGUGAGGUGGUGAGUUGUGGAGAAAGUCCCAGCUCAGGGUUCACUGUGGACCAACAGCUCUUUACUGUGGGGUACUACCUUCCUGGAGAAUUUCCUGGAGAGUAUAAGGCCUGACGUGGGCCUUCAAAUAUCUCAACAAGAACAAUAAAUCCCUCCAGAAAACCAUAUUACUCCACUUUCUUUCCAAAGGAAAUUCAAGUCUGUUGAAAUGCUUGCUCUAAAACAGUUUCCAGUGAUAUUAAACAAAUUCGUGGCUCUCAGAAUACCUUGGGUGAUGAUCAAUAAGAGUUGUAUGUGCUUUACAUGCUGAUAAUCACACCUAACCCACAGCAUUUGUCUGAUGCCUAAGUGGGCUCAGAUUUGCCCAAGGCUCUGGUCCAAGGACCUCUGAGGGACACAGCCUCGUCACUCAGACAGGAGAGCCCAACUCAGUGACAAACAAAGGCCAAGGGAUUCUGCACAUGAAGACAAAACAGAGUCUUCCUUCUCAACUAGAGAAUGGCUUAUCUAAGAAAAAAAUCAACUGGAGAGAAAAAAAAAGUGAGGAUGUCAGCAUUUAACAGGAAUCUUGAAACUUUGACAGGAAGGGUGACCCUUUUCGGUCAAUCUGAAAUGUAUGCAGACAGGUCACAGAUAUAUUCCAAAUACAUUUUUUUAAUUGCUAAAUAUGUUUAAAGAAGAUUUUUAAAAUAAAACUCAAUGGACCAGUUUAUACACUGCAAAUUCAUUACAUUUUUCCAACCACGCAGAGCUAGGCUUAAACUCAACUAUACUGAAGGUUAAACUCAACUAUUACCAGUGUUAUUCUAUCCCAAAGAAUGAGCCAGGUCUAAGCUGAUGUUUCCUCCUGUUGUGACAAUAAGAACUUUCCCCAUUGUCUUCCACCUUUCCCCUUCUCGCUCCAUUUCCACCUCUCCAUCGCGCAGGGAAGGCAGAUUAGAGUUCACUAGAAACACAAUACCUGAAACAUAAAGGCCUCACACCUACCCGCCUAGGAGUACAGCUCAGAUGAUCUUUCUAAUAAGGAGUGGCAAUGGAGCUUGCAGGCCGAAGAAACUAUAACUUGGGUGUGAUUGACAAGAGCUUAGGCUAACACAUGCCUGCUUCUAUAAUUAUAUUGUUUGUCUAGAGAGAAAAAACAAAAAAACAAUAAAUCAUCCAGCGGUGCAUGACUGGCUUAGUUCUCUGUCUCUCUCUCACUGGGAAACUCACGAUGAAGUUCUUCCAGGAAGAGGUUGCAACCCCACCUGCCCACCAUUCUCCAUGACACCUGUCACUGACCAAGAUGCAAGAAACACAUGGGCCCCUGCAAAAUCUCUCGAUUCAUUUUACUGUUUCUUGGUGAACUGACUUGUAUUAUCUCCCUUUUCGCUACCCUUAUUAGUUUCCUACAAACCACUACAAGUUAGCAGCUUAAAACCACACAUGGCGGGGCGUGGUGGCUCACG